Molecule: small nuclear RNA, 102 nt
Filed under: Neotoma lepida (desert woodrat)
Lineage: Eukaryota; Metazoa; Chordata; Mammalia; Rodentia; Cricetidae
Source: RNAcentral
GGGCUCUUGGACAGCACUUAUACUAAAACGGGAAUGAUACACAAAUUAUAAUUGCCCCUGCACAAGGGUGACACAUAAAUUCAUGAAGCAUUCCAUAUUAAG